Molecule: long non-coding RNA, 521 nt
Filed under: Homo sapiens (human)
Lineage: Eukaryota; Metazoa; Chordata; Mammalia; Primates; Hominidae
Description: HSALNT0293436
Source: RNAcentral
AGUUCUCCAACCCCAUAAAGUUAGAAUGCAGUCUGUGAGUACUCUCUGCUCUAAUCAAGAAGGAAGGGGCUUCAGCUUCAAAUGUCAAUGCUGUAAACAUGUUAAAUCUGGAAAAUAUUUUCUAAGCAAGCAACCAUGUGUAAAAUUUACCGAACUUGUCAUGAAAGGGCUGCAGCUGCAAACCUGCAAACUUCUCACUUCCAUGAAGACUCCAGAUGCUGAGACAGGGAAGAGAGGUUUCAGCUUGGCUCCCCAGCUGUUGCACCUUAGAGCUUUGCAUGCCGCCAUCUUCUCAGCGUUUCACCAGGUCAAAAAGUCUGAACGAUCCUUUCUCAGACAUGUCUCCUGAAUCUGGAUCAUCACCAUGCCACCCGGGGUAGGCUCUGGUCCUAACCGGCCUGGACUCUGAGCAACGGUGUCCUGACUGCUCUCCUGACAACUGUCACUCCCAGGCCCGGCCACUCGCCGUCUCAGCGCCCCCUCGCGGCCCUUCUCUACCCACCUCGGGACUUCCCAGGCCU